GGGGCUUUGGACAAUGUUUUAGUAUAACUAAUGAUUGUAUACCUAUAUAAGAAUAUAUAUACCCAGGGCCCACUAAAAUCAAAAUAAGUUUUGGGCCCUGGACCUAUGUCCCAUUUGUCCUCUCCUAGCCCUGGCACUGAACAAACACUAUCUUCUAAAGUAUAAACUUUCAUAGAAAUCUAAGAUUGAAUAAAUUGAAGAUACAUAUAAUUCACUAAAAAAAUUACACUGUAAAUUUAAAAAUUCAAAUUGAGUUAAUAGUUCACUUCAAUCCCUGUUCUGGUUGUAAUUGCAGUCAUACUGUAACAGUAAUAUUCUGUCAUGUUUUACUUUACCAACUACUAAUAUAAUUUAUACUUAAAUAAUGUAAACUAUUUAUGAGGUUUAACCAAAGUUAUCUAUCAGGUUGGAUUAUGCAUCUAUAUCACUCGUGUAUUUCUGUGCCGAAAUGACGCUUGUAUUGAAUUAUUAGUGUUAGUAGUCAUCAACCGAGUUAUAUGUAAAUCAUAUGAAAAAUUAUCAUUUUUCAUAUUUUGUGCUUAAACAAUUACAUGUACAUAAAAAAUGUCAAGCACCUAAAUUAUAUAGUUGAAGUCUGUAUCUUGGGGAAAAACAAAAAAUACAGUAUAUCAAAAAAUGCCAAAUACAUAUUUUUUCUGUGCACUGUCUUGCCAAUUUAUUACAAUUGAGUUUUCGAUUUUCCCAUUUUCUGUAAAGAUAUAACUGGUUGAGAAAUUUUCAUUCGUGGUCUUAGAAAAAUUUUGAUUUCUGAAAGUCUAUCUAUUGGGGUAAAAAAAAAAGUAUCAAAAAACCACCAUUAAAUUUUCUAUUCCCCUUCCUUACGUUUAUCAACGUUUUGCAGUUAGAAUUUAUAAUUUCCAAAAGCAAUAUAUUUAUUUUAAAUAUUAUAAUAUAAAAAGUAAUAUUAUGGGUUAGUUUUAAAUAAUAUUAUAUAGUGCCAUAUAAUAGGUACUUACACUAUAUUACAAUAUCAUAGACUAUAUUAUAUAUUCAAUGAUAAUAUUUUAAACGUUUUAACAAAAAAUAAUAAUUUGAGCAAGUUAUCGAAAUCUGCAGUCCAUAAUCAAAAGCAGUGGUGUAUCCAGAAUUUUUUUUUUUUUGAGAGAGGGGUAGUAAAAAACUAUUUUACAGCUCUAAUUAUAUAAAAGUUGAAAUUUUCAUCAUUUUUAAAAAUUAUAAAUGUAUGUUCAUUUUUCGUUUUGAUGUUUCAGAAAAUUAAUCUAUACAUCAUUGAUAUUCACGUUGAUAUUUUGUAUUUUGGUAAGGCUAAACCAUUUAAACGUAUUUGUCCCGAAGAAUUUCUCAAAUAUGUUUUCAAAUGACGGAGUCACCCCUGGCAGUUUAAAGAAGUUUAGAUAUCAAUGGAUAAACAUCUGAACUAGUUUGGAAGUAAACUUCAAUAGUAUUUUGUUCUUGAGUUCGGAAGAUGUUAAAUUUGAAUCGUUACAUUUGGACCAAUUGAAAUCAUUAAUGUAUUCGUUAUUUUUGGGCCUUGUUGUAAAUUGGUUAAAAAUUAUCGUAGAAAACUGAAAUUUCUAUAGAAUAGGUACUUAUAUUAAUAUUUUUUUAGACGUGAUAAUAUUUUAAAAUUAUUCUGGGGAUUUUUAAGCUAUUUAUCGGGAUUUGUUUAGUUUUUUUUUUGGUAUGUAUAGGUAUGUAUAGGUACCUAUACCUACUAUGUGAAAUUGUGACUUACGAGGACGCCACACCGACUACUUUUUCCGUCUUACAAACGCGAGACAGCAAAUUUGCAUUCGGUAGGACACAUUUUGUAACGUUGGUUUUAAUAUUAUAAACCAAAUUAACUUAUUAUCGAAGCUCAUGAGGUACCACCAGUACAAAUUUUUCUAAGAGAAGCGGCAAGAAAGUUGUUUAAUUUGGAUGGCCAAGGGCUGUACUGCAAAUAAAUCAUGUAAGACCAACUAAUGUAAAAAAUUCGGUCGACUUUGUAACUCAAAGUUCCAUAAUAGUGGUGUGUAAUAAUAAUACUAUGUACUUAACAUUACAUUUUGUUAACAAUUAGGCGUCAAGAGGGCGCACAAGCAUCGGACUUGUGUAUCACAACUGUGUCCUUUCAACAAAUCGUUUACGAACGACCAUCCAAUAACUUCGGGACAGGCCCGAGUUUGUAGAGUUCGCCGAUAAAUCUAUAAACGACAAAACACGUAAAUAAUAUCGCAUAAAAUGUAAAACAUUCGCGGUAUGUAUUAUAUUUCUUAAUAUCGACAACGUACUUGCAAUUCGUUACGAAAUAAUUUGUUUGGCCAUCCGACGGCCUGCAUUGCGUCGUCUAUUACAUGAUUAUUGCGUAAUUACAAUAUAUUAUUAAACGGUAACCGGAAUUUAAUAUUCGAUUUUGUGUCGGUAACCAGUGUUGUGUAAAGAAUACUUUGAAAAAAUAUAUACUUUUUUUUUAUAUUAUAAAACGUGAGCUAUCCGUCACUUGCGAAUGUCCGAAUGACGGUCGAGGCGAGCACGACUUGAAUAAGUGUCCUUAACAAAUAAAUAAUAAUACUAUAUUAUCAUCUAAAAAUCAAACAAUCAUUUUGGGUAAAACCCAAAACACACACACACUGACACUGCUAGGUUAAUCGUAAUAACUGAUCAACCAGAGGCGUAGCUAGAAAUAUUCUUCUGGGUAGGCCAGAUAUAAAAAAAAAAAUAUAAAUGUUUUUGUGUUUAUGAUUAUUAUAUUUGUCUGUUAAUACAAAUUUUUGAUUUUAAAAUGUUGUGUGCAUUUUCGAAGAAAAGUGGAUAGUCUACGGUAUGUGGUAGAUUGUAGUGUGCAUUUCAAAUGGCUACAUUAAACUCCUACAAAAAUGACCUUUUUACCUGUAUUUAAAACAUAGUGUAAACCCUUACAUAGUCGGCCUUUUUUACCAGCCAAAAAUAGAUUGUGUAAUCUCCUCCAUAGACCUUUUUACAUUUUAGAUUCUUAGUGUAGCGAGGAAUGUAUAUUGGUUUUACAAUGAUGUUUAUUUGAGAUAGUUGCACUUAAGUGGGAAAAAACUUACGGUUUUACAAUUUCAUUAUUUUAAAUUAUGAACUUAUUAUGACUUACGAAUGUAAUAUAAUAAAAUGUAAAAUCAAAUUUAGUAAACAUAUUAUAAGGCAUCAUAUCGGAAAUUCUCGGAUAUUUCGAUAACGUUUACGUUAUUUCAGCAAAUAGGAAACGUAACAAUCUUUAUCUCUUAUUUUUGUAAUUUAUGACUGAUUUUUUCUUAUUUUAAAAUACAUUAUUUUACUUUUCAGAGCUAUCUAGUGUAGGAGUUAACACUAUCUUUUAUAGGAGUUAACACUAUCUUUUGUAAGAGUUAACAUUUUCAGUUAUAGGAGUUAACACUACGUAAAUGUAGGAGAUUACCUACUUUUGUAGGAGUUUUCCAUCCCCGUUUCAAAUAAAUGAUAAACUAAUAAUCAAAUUAUAUUUUAUAACCCAGUUAUUCGGCAAUAUUAUUAUUAUCAUCUUUACCAAAAUCAUAUAAUUUAUCCGUAGCCAAUUACGUGGCCCGUGUAAAAAGACACGACGGUGUCGUGUACUGUCUACAUUCUGCAGGGUACCUACCUAUAUUACGAUUUUGGUCGUUAUCGCAUAUUUUAACGACAAUUCCAAAAUAUUUUAAAUUGAAAAGUUAGAAAAUACUGUAACAAAAUAAUUAAAAUGUACUUCGAUACUUAUAAAUAAAUAGUAUUUAAUACUUGUAAAAGUAUUUAUUUACCAAUACUCAAUUACAUUACAACGCUGUUUUCGUAAUCUUGCAGGACUCUUUCAACUUGUAACAUUUGGGCAACAAAGCCGUUUGAAAAGCUGGUUCAGAACCGGGACGCGCACCGCAUUUCCAGGGAUGAAAACUGUUUAUAGUACGAAAUCGUUUUGAAUUAGUGUGUAAAAAGAAAAAAACUAAUUCGUUAAUUUGGUUUCUUUGCGAACAUUUAAAAAAAUAUCUUUGAGGUAGGUGUGAUAUUAUAUUAUAUUAUUUUAUUUUUUCUAAAAAUGGGUUAUUUGUUUAUACAUAAAUAAAAAUAUAAAUUGAAAUUAUUAGUUUGAGUGGUGAUUAAUUUUCCGUUGAUGUGCUGAUCAAAAAAAUCCCUCCCUCCUAAUUAAAACUAAAAUUACGGCAUUGUGAAGGAGGGUGUAGAUACUUAUAUGGUAUAACGGUUUCAUAUAAAGUGUAAAGUAAGAAAAAGUAUAAAAUAUUUUAGGCUCCGGUUAUUCCUUUAUGUCACGGUGGCCGGUUGGAGUUUGAACCGCCAUAGACGGUAAAUACGAAAAUAUGCAGGCGCAUAACCAAAUUUCGCCCAGAAUCGUUUUUCGUUAGCAAUAUGAUUAAUCGUUACGUAUCAUUACAAUUACUAUAACGCUCUAUAUCCUACCUUUCCAACCUCUCACUUACAAUGGGUCUUUUUACAACCGGUGUUUACAACGUUGCGUUCAAAAUUAAAAAUAAGCUUGGAACAACUAUAUAGACAACCAUUUAUUGUGUUCAAGAUUUUGCCGGUUUUUCGAUUCAAGAUUGUGAUGGUCUCUCGAAUGAGUGUUGUGAGCGCGAUAUAAUUUCGUUUCAAUCUCUGUGUUCUCCCUCGAUGAAAACUCCGUUUCAAAAUUCAACGGAAGAAAUUAGUUUUGUGGCCAGCCCGUAUUAUCUUAGCUCGUGAUGCGGAACGACAGCUUAUCAUUUGAUGGGAAAAGUAUCUCGCUCGGCUUGUGUCGUAUACCUAGCGCUUAAUAAUGACGACGGUCUGGACACCAUAGGCCUGAUAAUAUGUUUAUGGGUCUAUGCUGAAAACUGCCAAAUAAUAAUAGUACACUCGUAGGUAUAAAAAACGAUUGUUCGAUAUUGACAUUGUUAAUAUGUGCGCACAUCACGGUUUUGUUGUUUUCAUUUACUCGC
Non-coding RNA from Cinara cedri, 4913 nucleotides. Lineage: Eukaryota; Metazoa; Arthropoda; Insecta; Hemiptera; Aphididae. The record is from the annotation of a GenBank genome assembly.